RNAcentral lists this unclassified non-coding RNA (611 nucleotides) under Pleurotus ostreatus (oyster mushroom). RNAcentral describes it as "sequence contains 18S rRNA gene, ITS1, 5.8S rRNA gene, ITS2". The stretch from base 237 to 390 matches the Rfam family "5.8S ribosomal RNA". Lineage: Eukaryota; Fungi; Basidiomycota; Agaricomycetes; Agaricales; Pleurotaceae. The record is from RNAcentral.
GAAAAGAUUACCCUAUGGAGUUGUUGCUGGCCUCUAGGGGCAUGUGCACGCUUCACUAGUACUUUCAACCACCUGUGAACUUUUGAUAGAUCUGUGAAGUCGUCUCUCAAGUCGUCAGACUUGGUUGCUGGGAUUUAAACGUCUCGGUGUGACAUACGCAGUCUAUUUACUUACACACCCCAAAUGUAUGUCUACGAAUGUCAUUUAAUGGGCCUUGUGCCUAUAAACCAUAAUACAACUUUCAACAACGGAUCUCUUGGCUCUCGCAUCGAUGAAGAACGCAGCGAAAUGCGAUAAGUAAUGUGAAUUGCAAAAUUCAGUGAAUCAUCGAAUCUUUGAACGCACCUUGCGCCCCUUGGUAUUCCGAGGGGCAUGCCUGUUUGAGUGUCAUUAAAUUCUCAAACUCACUUUUGGUUUCUUUCCAAUUGGGAUGUUUGGAUUGUUGGGGGCUGCUGGCCUUGAAAGGUCGGCUCCUCUUAAAGGCUUUAGAAGGACUUCUCAUUGCCUCUGCGCAUGAGGGGAAAAUUAUCACUCAUCAAUAGCACGCAUGAAUAGAGUCCAGCUCUCUAAUCGUCCGCAAGGACAAUUUGACAAUUUGACCUCAAAUCAGG